This 3712-nucleotide long non-coding RNA is filed under the name Numida meleagris (helmeted guineafowl). Its description in RNAcentral is "lncRNA (ENSNMEG00000023113.1)". The record is from RNAcentral. Lineage: Eukaryota; Metazoa; Chordata; Aves; Galliformes; Numididae.
GAGCAUCCAGAAGGAAAGAAGGUGAAGAGUGAAGCAAGAGGAGAGAAGAAUGUCCCUGUAUUGCUUUCCAGUCUGUCAUGGUCAUGGACUCCAUUAGGUAUGACUGCUUUGACCAACCUGUGGCAGGUGGAGCCAACUCUGUUCUUACACAUUAACUCCAGCUCUGGCCAAGAGAAGGGAGUGGAAGAUGAUCUCCUGGUAUCUUUGAAGAACUGGUUUCUCUUUGCUCCAUGCAUGACCAUCCAGAUGCAUGCAUCUUCCCGAGGCACCCAGCGUUGCCCUCUGCUCCAGUCUUUCUCUGUACGCCCCAUGGAACAUGAGGGAUGUAUUAGUAACAAUGGUACCUUGAUUGCAUUUGAAAGUAAUGAGACAAAAACUGGGAUUGCUAGCUGAAUUUUUCAUCUAUAAAACGCAGGUUGCACUCUGCAGUAUCAUAGAACCAUUGAAUAGCUCAAGUUGGAAGGGUUAAUGAAAGAUCCAUAAGGAUCAUUGAAUCUAGCUACUGGAACACGCACCCCAGUCUGGGUGUUUCUAUACCAUUAUAAGAGUUAUGCCUUGGGUUGCCUUAGCUUCAUCCUGACUGGGUUCCCCUUAAUAAGGGAACUAAAAUAAAGCAGUAAAUGAAUUUCUUCCUGGAAGACUGUAGCAGAAAUGCUAAGUCAUGGCCUGAACCAAUGAUGGAGCACCUGGUGGGAAGGCAGGGCCAGCCCAGGGGAGCUCAGGUGUAUGCAAUGCACCUGAGUGACCAGAAGGGGUGGAGCCAGGAUCCACCCCUUCCCAGCCCUCAUUUAAGGGUUGACAGUGGAGGUGAGGGUAUCUUGCUGGAGAUCCCUGUGUGCCUGAGACCUUCUGAAGGUAAGCAGCUUAUUUCCUUUAUUUCUGCACUCACAGCUGUUGCAUUUGAGCAAAUCCUCACUUGCUGCAGCCUGGGACCUUCCUGCACUGCUGCCCUUGGUGCACUUUCCUUUGCUUUACAAAGGUGGUGUUUUUCAAUAUAUUUCACUUUUCCAGCUCCUGCUAUUUUUUUCUCACAGGCUACAGGACCCCCUGUUAGCGUCAUCGCUCCUGGUCUCUUGGAAGUGGCCUUACAGAGCACAAGCUCUUUCUGAUUUCCUCGGGAGUAGUUUGACUGAUUCUGAUAUUUUUGAGUUGCUCAGGACCCUAAAAAUCCCAGAUCCUUAAAUCCAGGUAAGAAAUCAUUGCAUCUGGCUCUUGCUUAUUUCCUGUCUUUGUGGUCUGGGUGUGCCUCCUUCUCCCAGGCACAUAUGUGUGUGCAUACACACAGUCAACAUGAGGAGGGAAAGAAUGAGGUUUAUCUGCCUCUCUGGGAAUCACAUCUGGGAAAAGCAGAAUUGGUCUCUUCCUACAGCACUGAGGAACAAAUUUGGGGUGUUCUCCAUGACCCUUCUCCGUACAUCUCAGUCUGGGCUGCAGACCCAGCUGCUGUGUGGGGGCUGUCCCUCCUUCCUCCCAGCUCAGUGAUAGAAUUCUAGUGAGUGUAGAGAGGCAAAUGGCAGAACACUUGCAAAUAUUUCAAGAGUUUUUGCUUAUCAGUGUUCAGUGCUCUGGUUAGUCAUUAUUUCAUAGCAGGAGAAAUAGAGCCUCAGUGUUCCUCAAGUGAUACCCAUGAGGUGACAAUCACGGGGGCUCUGCUGAACUUCCUGAUAUUAAGGCAGCUAAAGUGCUGUUCAGAUGUAAUCCAAUCAGCAAGGCGCGACUCCAGGCAAGCUGGCAAACUGAGCUGAUGAGCACCUAGCGCACAGCACCUACUCAAAGUGCUGGGAUAAGGGUCAAGGUGCUUCCUGACAUGUGAUUAUCAGUGGUCACUGGUGAUACAGAGGAGACUGGUAAGAAGGGGAGGGAGAUGAUAAGAAUGGGCUCAUGGUGUCCCUGGGGCAGACAAAAGAAGAGUCAGAAAGAAACACUUCUAUUUUCUGGAGCAAAUAGAUUAAUUAGUGAGAAGAGUUGGUUUUGCAGAGCAGGCUUUCUUCACAAAUGGGCCUGAAUAGUACCAUUAUAGAGAUGAGGUCUCCACAGGCUUGUAUUUCUUCUCUUGGGAAACCAUGUUUUGUUAGGUGGUGAGGGAAGAGUGAUCCGAUCUCCUUAGUCCUACCAGUAAAUCUAUCCCCAGUAAAAACAAAUCUUAGUAAAUAGAAAAGCCUUUUUUUGUUUGUUUGGAUGCUUCUCUGUGUGAUAACACUUGCCUUGUUUAAAAGGUGUCCGUCCAACAACACAGCAAUAGCUCCUUAAAGGCAAAAAACAUUUACAGGAUAAAUUUCUUCUGAUGAAGGAAAGUGGGGGUCUCUGUCAUCUUAUACCAUUCUUACACACUUCAUAUUUAGUGCCCAUUUUACAUUUAAAAAAACAGCUUAUGUCAUAGAUUAGCAAGUAGCUUGAAUGUAGCAGCUAUGAUCUUCUAACUUUUUAAGGCUCCCACUUCAGGAACAUUUCUUACAGGGUAGGACCAUUGGCCACCAGAGUGCUGUGAAGAGUGGGUACCAGGACUGGAGGAUGAAAGGCUGUGGUAGAAGAUAUGGCUAAGCAGAGAAUCCAAGCUGGCAUUAUUGGUGAAGAAGGAAACUGGGAUAGAGUAAGGAAGAAUGGCAUGAAAAAAGCAAGCACAUGGGCAACUGAAAGGAGAGACUAACAGGUAUUACCUUGCUGUAGAAUGGAAGAAAAAGGAGUGUAAAAGAUGUCUGGAAGAAAGACACAAGGUGCUGAGAGAAGUGAUUUGUUGCUUGGGCUUGGACUGGAUGACAGAUGGGAGGCUGCAGUGAGGAAUGAGACACAGAAGGGAGAAGGGGGCAGACAGCAGAAUGAGCUGGACCUUGGGUGGGCAGCAGAGGGGAGGUGACAGGCGGCAUGGUUUGGGGGAGGCUGGCUGCCAGCCCUCCUGGGUGAUGGAGUGGCAUUGUCAGUAGUGGGAUUGUCAGGGAUGGCAGGUGACAAGGUGUGGGCAAUAUGGAGCAGAAAACGUUCAUCCCUCACCCCUGAUGUGGGAGGGGUGAGCUCAGUUUCUCGCAGUACAGUUCCUCAAAAUCCAGGGCCAUCUGGACACAGUCCUGUCCCUCGCACAAGCUGUCACCCAGGAAUUGCUCAGGCAGCCGUGACUAGCUGGUGCAUCUGGGAGUAUCUGUGCUCAUGGCCAGGAGGGCAGAUGGCACCAGAUUCACUACAGUGGCUUUGCAGCACCUGGUACCCCUGUUUUGGUGGGGGGUCCUGUGGAGCCAGGUGAGCUUUGCCUUGGGCACUGUGGUGUCACUUGAUUUGGUGGUACAGGGCUGCUCUGCCACAUUGACCCAGCAGUCUCCCUGACGCCUUCAAUAUCAUUGUGCAAAUAUUUGGGGAUAGGUGUGCUCCUUUCCAGCUGGCCUUCUAGUGUUGGGCAUUGCUGAAGAGCAGCCUGAGGUGGGUGAUGAAGGAGGACAGUGGACCUCAGCUGACAUCAUCUCAGCAAUGUGUUUGCAGUGACUGAUGUCCUCAGCCCGCUCCCCUUGGUGUUUUGUGUUGCUCAAGAAAUGGGUAUGAAGAAGAGUCACUGAAAACACUGGUCACUCUGCUUGCAUACACCUACACAUCAGGAACUGUUUUCUUCAAGAAAUAUUUUAUUAGCACUUUGCCAUCCUAGUAACAGUACUAGCUUUUCAUAGCAGCUGUGAUAUGGAAUUUGUCAAAAAAUAAAAUGCUUUUGGGCAAGAAAGUGAUGUUGUGU